AGCGAACGCUGGCGGCAAGCUUAACACAUGCAAGUCGAACGCCCCGCAAGGGGAGUGGCGGACGGGUGUAUAACACGUGGGAAUCUACCUUUCAGUUCAGGAUAACUCAGGGAAACUUGAGCUAAUACUGCAUAAUGUCUCCGGACCAAAGAUUUAUCGCUGAAAGAUGAGCCCGCGGCUGAUUAGCUAGUUGGUAGGGUAAUGGCCUACCAAGGCGACGAUCAGUAGCUGGUCUGAGAGGAUGAUCAGCCACACUGGGACUGAGACACGGCCCAGACUCCUACGGGAGGCAGCAGUGGGGAAUAUUGGACAAUGGGGGAAACCCUGAUCCAGCUAUGCCGCGUGAGUGAUGAAGGCCUUCGGGUUGUAAAGCUCUUUAGUCGGGGACGAUAAUGACGGUACCCGAAGAAUAAGCUCCGGCAAACUUCGUGCCAGCAGCCGCCGUAA
RNAcentral lists this ribosomal RNA (447 nucleotides) under uncultured bacterium. RNAcentral's name for it is "partial 16S ribosomal RNA". It matches the Rfam family "Bacterial small subunit ribosomal RNA", at positions 29 to 523 of the family's 1533-position model. The record is from RNAcentral.